RNAcentral lists this ribosomal RNA (900 nucleotides) under uncultured bacterium. RNAcentral describes it as "bacterial SSU rRNA". It matches the Rfam family "Bacterial small subunit ribosomal RNA", at positions 487 to 1397 of the family's 1533-position model. The record is from RNAcentral.
AAAGUGACGGCUAACUACGUGCCAGCAGCCGCGGUAAUACGUAGGUCACAAGCGUUAUCCGGGAAUUAUUGGGCGUAAAGGGUGCGUAGGCGGCUAUUUAAGUUUAAGGUUAAAGUUCAGAGCUCAACUCUGUGAUGCCUUAGAAACUGGGUAGCUAGAGUACAGGAGAGGUGAGUGGAAUUCCAUGUGUAGCGGUAAAAUGCGUAGAGAUAUGGAGGAACACCAGUGGCGAAGGCGGCUCACUGGCCUGUAACUGACGCUGAGGCACGAAAGCGUGGGGAGCAAAUAGGAUUAGAUACCCUAGUAGUCCACGCCGUAAACGAUGAAUACUAAGUGUUGGAGUAACAUUCAGUGCUGCAGUUAACGCAAUAAGUAUUCCGCCUGGGGAGUAUGCACGCAAGUGUGAAACUCAAAGGAAUUGACGGGGGCCCGCACAAGCGGUGGAGUAUGUUGUUUAAUUCGAAGCAACGCGAAGAACCUUACCAGGUCUUGACAUGGCUCUAAAUGCCCUAGAGAUAGGGAGAUAGCUAUAGAGCACACAGGUGGUGCAUGGUUGUCGUCAGCUCGUGUCGUGAGAUGUUGGGUUAAGUCCCGCAACGAGCGCAACCCUUGUCGUUAGUUACCAUCAUUAAGUUGGGGACUCUAGCGAGACUGCCGGUGACAAACCGGAGGAAGGUGGGGAUGACGUCAAAUCAUCAUGCCCCUUAUGACCUGGGCUACAAACGUACUACAAUGGCAAGAACAACGGGAAGCGAUGUGGUGACACAAAGCGGAUCUCUGAAAACUUGUCUCAGUUCGGAUCGAAGUCUGCAACUCGACUUCGUGAAGUUGGAAUCGCUAGUAAUCGCGGAUCAGCAUGCCGCGGUGAAUACGUUCUCGGGCCUUGCACUCACCGCCCGU